GCAUGGCUCAGUGGGAGAGCAUUUGCUUUGUGUGCAGAAGGCCCCACGUUUCAAGCCCUAGCAGCUCCA
This is a non-coding RNA of Podarcis lilfordi (Lilford's wall lizard), 69 nucleotides long. The record is from the annotation of a GenBank genome assembly. NCBI's taxonomy places the organism in Eukaryota, Metazoa, Chordata, Lepidosauria, Squamata, Lacertidae.